UCUAUUUAAAUAUGCUCCUACGAUUAAGGAAAUAAAUACCAAUAGUAAAGAGAGAGAACCGAAUGAGGUUAGAAAAUUCAGAUGAAAGAACCAUGUUGAGCAAGUUUUGUCAUUUAAUAGAACAAUUUACUAUGCACCCACAGCGAAAUUGCAUAGUUAUUGACAGCUAGAUACUCAUACUUGCCAUACAGCAACAAUUUUAUCUCUCCUACCACUUCAUCGACCAUGUACACUAAUAAAGUUUUCAUAGAGUACCAAUGGAAUGAAAAAUGUCUAGAAAGUCUCAAAGACCACACAAAUAUACUCCCUUAUUGUUAAGACUUAGAAGAGAGACAAGGUUCCCAGUGUUCCAUCAAAAUAUUACAACUUCUCAUUGACUAAACUCCACCAGGGACGAGUUCACUAUUAUUGUAUAUACUUUUCUUUUUUGAGAAAAAAAAAAAAAGAACCUACGCACCAACUUAAAGAGAAUCAAAUGUAUAGUAACCAAUUAACUAAUAAAAACUCUCCCACUAUGAUAUCAGAAUUAAUACCCAAUAUAAAUGUUCUAAAACACAUCGUAAGCUAUCUGCUGCACACACUUUGACUGUCUUUUGGCAAACUAUCAAUUUCUAUGAUGUAAAACUAGUUUCAGUUACCAGUAUGAUAGUGCUUGUCUCACGACAUAACUAAGAACAAAAUUUACUGACCUCCUCACAUUAUCGAAAAUUGACUCGCUGACAUGACAUCCAAAGGAAUCCAAAUGCAGCAUAAUUGGCCCCAACUCAUCUUCUUUAUUUGGCAUGCAUAUAAUAACCAAGCUCCAAUAAGAACGCCAGAAAUGAGAUAAUGCAAAAUAUGGUCACUGAGGAAGCCUAGGCAAUACAAAAUGCGGUUAGAAAAGAAGAUCUGAUAAGCUUACGAUCCACUAAUUGGGAGGAAAAUGUAUGGUUUCUGGAAUAUAUUCUCAUUUUUCCAAUGAGAUCUGAGUUUCUGAAAUGAAUCUUUUCUAUCAGUCUGCAUCAGGGAAAAAUAAAUACUAGUAAAACAUUUUAGGAAAUUUAGCUUUCAUAAAAGAAAAUGACUCCAAUCUUGCAAAAUUGUUUUGACUUUAAGAAAUAGUAAUUGUUCAAGUUUCUUCAAAACUUCUUAAAAAAGCAGCCCAAAAACACGCAAACAACUAACUAAAAAAUAAACAUCAAAAGUUGGGAGAGCAAGUACGAGAUACAACAGGACCAGUUUCUGAUUUUGACUGUGAAGAAUUUUGACUUACGCAUGUUAAACAUUCUACAAAAGACUCAAUGAUUUUGAGGUUGACAAGAUCAUCAAAUUCUCAUAAGAAAGUCUUUCCAUGCCUUUCAUAGUAAAAGCCUCUCAAAGAUACACUAGAUGAUCAAUCCAUUGUAUAUGACAUUGAUGUCUUUCUUGUUUCAUGAAUAUGAGAAGAUUCUAUGGCAAAGAGAUGAGUGCUUCCAGAAUUUCAGAAGCUAC
RNAcentral lists this long non-coding RNA (1470 nucleotides) under Salvia miltiorrhiza (redroot sage). RNAcentral's name for it is "long non-coding RNA (SMIL_LNC000174)". The record is from RNAcentral. Lineage: Eukaryota; Viridiplantae; Streptophyta; Magnoliopsida; Lamiales; Lamiaceae.